ACGGGGGGGGCAAGCGUUGUUCGGAAUUACUGGGCGUAAAGGGCUCGUAGGUGGCCACCUAAGUCCGACGUGAAAUCCCUCGGCUCAACCGGGGAACUGCGUCGGAUACUGGGUGGCUUGAAUCCGGGAGAGGGACGUGGAAUUCCAGGUGUAGCGGUGAAAUGCGUAGAUAUCUGGAGGAACACCGGUGGCGAAGGCGGCGUCCUGGACCGGUAUUGACACUGAGGAGCGAAAGCCAGGGGAGCAAACGGGAUUAGAUACCCCGGUAGUCCUGGCCCUAAACGAUGAGUGCUUGGUGUGGCGGGUAUCGAUCCCCGCCGUGCCGGAGCUAACGCGUUAAGCACUCCGCCUGGGGAGUACGGUCGCAAGGCUG
RNAcentral lists this ribosomal RNA (373 nucleotides) under uncultured bacterium. RNAcentral describes it as "bacterial SSU rRNA". It matches the Rfam family "Bacterial small subunit ribosomal RNA", at positions 525 to 896 of the family's 1533-position model. The record is from RNAcentral.